ACUUUUAAAGGGUAAGAGUCAUCCAUUGGUCUUGGGAACCAAAAAUUUUGGUGCAAUUCCAAGUAAAAGUA
Molecule: transfer RNA, 71 nt
Filed under: Sarcophilus harrisii (Tasmanian devil)
Lineage: Eukaryota; Metazoa; Chordata; Mammalia; Dasyuromorphia; Dasyuridae
Rfam family: tRNA
About the family: Transfer RNA (tRNA) molecules are approximately 80 nucleotides in length. Their secondary structure includes four short double-helical elements and three loops (D, anti-codon, and T loops).
Source: Rfam by way of RNAcentral